This 110-nucleotide ribosomal RNA is filed under the name Sunxiuqinia dokdonensis. Lineage: Bacteria; Pseudomonadati; Bacteroidota; Bacteroidia; Marinilabiliales; Prolixibacteraceae. The record is from RNAcentral.
AGGUGAUUAUUGCGGCGGGGUUCCACCUCUUCCCAUUCCGAACAGAGAAGUUAAGCCCGCCAGCGCCGAUGGUACUGCAGAAAUGUGGGAGAGUAGGUCGUCGCCUUUCU